Molecule: unclassified non-coding RNA, 329 nt
Filed under: soil metagenome
Description: partial contains 5.8S ribosomal RNA, internal transcribed spacer 2, and large subunit ribosomal RNA
Rfam family: 5.8S ribosomal RNA (bases 1-120)
Source: RNAcentral
GAUGAAGAACGUAGCGAAAUGCGAUAAGUAAUGUGAAUUGCAGAAUUCAGUGAAUCAUCGAAUCUUUGAACGCACAUUGCGCCCCUUGGUAUUCCGAGGGGCAUGCCUGUUCGAGCGUCAUUAUAACCCCUCAAGCUCAGCUUGGUGUUGGGGCCUGCUGCACUGGCAGCCCUUAAAAUCAGUGGCGGCGCCAUCUGGCUCUAAGCGUAGUAAUUCUUCUCGCUAUGGAGUCCUGGUGGAUGCUUGCCAUCAACCCCCCAUUUUUCUAUGGUUGACCUCGGAUCAGGUAGGGAUACCCGCUGAACUUAAGCAUAUCAAUAAGCGGAGGA